UACGGAGGUUGCGAGCGUUGUUCGGAAUAACUGGGCGUAAAGGGAGCGCAGGCGGUCUCGUAAGUCUAAAGUGAAAUGCCAGGGCUCAACCUUGGACGUGCUUUGGAUACUGCGAGACUUGAGUACGUGAGAGGAGAGUGGAAUUCCAGGUGUAGCGGUGAAAUGCGUAGAUAUCUGGAGGUACACCGGUGGCGAAAGCGGCUCUCUGGCACGUUACUGACGCUGAGGCUCGAAAGCGUGGGGAGCGAACGGG
Molecule: ribosomal RNA, 253 nt
Filed under: uncultured bacterium
Lineage: Bacteria
Description: partial 16S ribosomal RNA
Rfam family: Bacterial small subunit ribosomal RNA
Source: RNAcentral